CUCUCCCUCCCUCCUCUCUCAAUUUCUCUGAUGAAAACUAUGAUAUGUAUAGUCAUCAACGCAUCACUAGAAAUGGUGUCCGAGUCAACGGAGGUUAUGAGUCCGAAUGCUCACAGCUGUCAAAGCUCAUAUCUACAGAAAUACAAUUAAAAACAAGAAAAACAGGUGCGAUCUUUCCAAUAUAUAAAAUUUCAUGAUUAUGGUUGUGUGAUUAUUUAUGAAUUCACGGUAUAUAUUAUUAUAGUUUGGCUCAUCACUCAUUUUUCAUGAUUAAGUAUAUUGAUGUAAUGUGCUUGAAUCUUUUAGUGUAUGUGUUGUUUUGUAUCCUCUUUUGUCAUUUUUUAUUCUGUUUUGUCUGAAUUGGAGGAGAUUGGGUAUAUGUAACCAUUUUUAUAUUAUAUGAUUAGUUACUUUUUGAUUCUCGAUUCUUUUCGAUUCUUAGUUUUCGCUAGUGUCCAUGAUGAAUGUUUGUAGUUUUCCGGUUCUUGCACGGUGACGACGGAGGUGGUGUAGUGGCGACCUAAUUAGCGGGUGUUUUGAUAUUAGAUUAUUCUGAUUGACUUAGUUUGUUGCAUUAUUUUAGUUUAGAUUUGAAAAUUUGGCUUUAUUUGAUUUUAAUAGUAGUAAAUGUUAAUCUUAAUUUCAGUUUUGUAAAUGGCAAGUUGACUCUUUUAAUUUAUUUGGUUUUGAAAUUUGAAUUUUCUCUUCAUGCUUUAAUUUCAACUUUUAUGUAUUCAUUAGAAGAUUAAUUAAAAUAUUCGGAUUUUGAAUCUGGUAAAUGAAUGCAUUUAAAUCUAUUUGCACCAUUUAUGGGUGAUUUGAAUUUUGAAUCUUGUAAAUGAAUGCAUUUAAAUUUAUGUACCAUAUAUGGGUGGCCAUGAUUGAUGGCGUAAAUUCUUGGCCUAGUAGGGGCAAUUUGGUGCCACUUUGUUGGCUUAUUUAUUAUAUUUAACUUGUUAUCUAAAAUUUAAAUAUCAUUUUGAAUAUCAAAGUUAUAUUUUUAUAUUUAUAUUUUAGUUCUUAUUAAUUAUUUAAUUAUAUUCUUAGUAAUUAUUCAGCUUGUUAUAUAUCUAGCCAAAGGGUCUCCCUUUGGUUAGAUAUAUUUUGUUUUUAUAUUUAUCUUCUAUUUUUGACAGAUUAUUUUAUAUUUAUUAUUUCAUCCAACUACUUUUUUUGACGAACUAUACUAUUUUAAUAAUUAAUUUAUAAUUACUUUUCAUGUUAUUAAUGGAUUGUUUUUGUUUCAGGUAGCAUGAUCAUACAAGAUGGGACGUUUCUCUUUUCGGACAUUAAGUAUUAUUGUCUAAACUUCCGGAGACAUUUUCAUGUCUUUCGGUUAGAUAAUAAGCUUUUUGAAUGAAAGAAACUCCUCGGAGUAUUGUUGUAUCUCGUUGCGGGAA
RNAcentral lists this long non-coding RNA (1400 nucleotides) under Daucus carota (carrot). RNAcentral describes it as "long non-coding RNA (DCAR_LNC006413)". Lineage: Eukaryota; Viridiplantae; Streptophyta; Magnoliopsida; Apiales; Apiaceae. The record is from RNAcentral.